AUGCUUUUUCAACAACAGUUUAUGUUGGAGCUGAAUUUUCUCAAGACUCACUACUCAAUCCAAAUUGCAAAAUUGAAGCAACAAAAUUUUCAGUCAUCAUCCCAGUCAGUGGACAAGGUAUUAUGCCACACAUCUUCAGAAAUGAAAACAUGAAAUGGCAGAGAACCACUGUGUUCUUUCAAGUAUUGCAUUUUACAUAAAGAGAUCAUCCAGAGUACCUCAUCUGCAUCUGUGACAUGCU
RNAcentral lists this long non-coding RNA (241 nucleotides) under Anser cygnoides (Swan goose). Its description in RNAcentral is "lncRNA (ENSACDG00005010806.1)". The record is from RNAcentral. Lineage: Eukaryota; Metazoa; Chordata; Aves; Anseriformes; Anatidae.